GAUGCAUAUGCGGGAGAGGCCGGGUGAAAAGGAUCCUGGCGCCGAAGGAGCAACCGCCCCGGAAACUCUCAGGCAAAAGGACCGCAUGGGCUCA
This 94-nucleotide non-coding RNA is filed under the name Roseibium sp. TrichSKD4. RNAcentral describes it as "Glycine riboswitch aptamer". It matches the Rfam family "Glycine riboswitch aptamer". Rfam says of the family: This family represents the bacterial glycine riboswitch. Lineage: Bacteria; Pseudomonadati; Pseudomonadota; Alphaproteobacteria; Hyphomicrobiales; Stappiaceae. The record is from Rfam by way of RNAcentral. RNAcentral also lists the same sequence under 1 other name.